This 734-nucleotide long non-coding RNA is filed under the name Anas platyrhynchos platyrhynchos (common mallard). Its description in RNAcentral is "lncRNA (ENSAPLG00000029399.1)". The record is from RNAcentral. Lineage: Eukaryota; Metazoa; Chordata; Aves; Anseriformes; Anatidae.
AUAUUUGCAACAGACUGACCUGAUUAUACUACUAUGUUUGAAUGCAACUUACAGAAAGAAAAAUUACAGGAAAAUCUGUUUCUGUUACAGAGAAGAGAAGCUGUGAGAGGUGUCUUAAAGGAAAAAAUAAUGCAUUUAAGUUCACAUGAGAGCCUUUCGGUCUGAUCACAUGUGCCUGUACCAUUAAAGAGAAGGACUGAGACAAGGAGGAUCUGAGCAACAGACCAUGACAACAAUUUCUUGAAAGCACCAGCAAGCUGGAAGUAAAAAUCAUUUAAAUUCCAAGCUACCUGUGCAGAGCUGAGCCGUUGUAUUUUGAGAGAAUUCUUUAAUUUGCUGAAGUGACCGUUUUCUGGUAGUCCAAGAUAUUUACACAUUCUGAUUAAAAUUGACAGAGUCUUUGUUUGGGGUGUCCUGGUUUCAGCUAGGAUAGAGUUAAUUUUCCUCCUAGUACCUGGAAUGGUGCUGUGUUUUGGACUUAGAAUGAGAAUAAUGUUGAUAACACGCUGAUGUUUUGUUUGUUGCAGGUCAGUGCUUAUACUAAGUCAAGGACUUUUUAGCUUCUCACACUGCCCUGCCAGCAAGGAGACUAUGGGUGCACAAGGAGCUGUGAGGGGACAGAACCAGAACAGGUGACCCCAUUGGACAAGGGAUGUCCCAUGCCAUAUGGUGUCAUGGUGAACAAUUAAUAUGGGGUGGCUGGUUGGUUUGGGGGAACUGCUGCUCAGGGCAUC